This is a long non-coding RNA of Girardinichthys multiradiatus, 630 nucleotides long. RefSeq lists it as uncharacterized. Lineage: Eukaryota; Metazoa; Chordata; Actinopteri; Cyprinodontiformes; Goodeidae. The record is from RefSeq and is a predicted model, not a curated record. The transcript has 3 exons.
CUGUGUGCCCUCACGAAUAAGACUUUGCUUUCCAAAUAAUUUAUAAAUAUUUGAGUUUUCCAGUGCAUGUAAAAUUAUUUUGUGUAUCAAUAGUCACAUAAAGUGUCGAUAUCCAUGCAUAAUUUUAAAGCAAGUUAAAACCAAAUACAUUUUGUCCGAACAAGGGUUUUAAUGUGGUGUGACAGCAUAAUGUACACUUUAAACUGGCAAUAAUAUGGAAAUUCUGAAGAUGAAAAGGACCAAUACCAACUGGUUAGUUACAGUAGUAUCUCUGGAGGGAUUUGCAAAGUCAUCAGGCUAAACCCGAUGAAGUCCUUGCUGAAAGGAAGUGGCUGUUGCCCCAAUGAGCAUCAAACAAUUUUGGUGUUGUUUAAUGUUUCAACUAACUACUGAAAUAACAGCUCUGCAGGAGGAGAGAGUGCACACUUCCAGGUUUGGAUGCAUUUUCCCUCAAACUCCCAGGGAUCUUCACCAUCAUGUCCAGCCGUGGUCUGCUCCACUAUCUCCUCAUCUUAUUUUACAUUUUUAAAUUAUAUUAAAUAGCUCAUGAUUAGACAGUCAAGGUAUCAACUUCCUGUACUUGCUGGUUGAUUAUUUGGUUUUUGUUUUUUUUUGUUAUUCCAAUAAAGA